AUUUUUAAGGAAGCAGCCAUCCUUUUAUUCAUCUUAAAAUCUUAUUUUCAAACUUGUAAAAUAUUUGGGUGAAUGAACUUGGGUUUACCCAACAAAUUCUGAUUCUAUGAACUUUCCUAAGUCCCAAGGGGCUCUAUUUCCUGCAUAAUGGAACUCAUUACUCCAAAAGGAACUCUAAAUAGAAAAUGCAGCAUCAAGAAUGGUAUAUCAAAGACAAUAAAUUGACAGCUAAAUAUUUUUGUUUAGGAACUGCCUGUUGUUAGAAAUCAAGAUCUUCUGCAAUAGCAGUUGAUAUUGAUAUCAUUAUCUGUUAAAUUGUAGGAUGUCUUCCUUCCCUCCUUCCCUACUUCUUUCCCUCCCGCUCUGUAUCCCUCCCUCCCUCCUUUCUUCUUUCCUUCCUUUUUUGGUGGUACUGGGGUUUGAACUUAGGGCACUUUACUACUUGAACCAGAGCUCUGUUUUUAAUUCUUUUUGCAAUCUAACUUUGCACCCUUCCAGCCUUUCUUUAAAAUUACUGUUUGUUUUUCUGUGAUUAAGUCAAUAUUACCUUUUAAAUAUUUCAGGCUAUCUGCUCAGUUAGGUCUCAACUUUUGAAUUUUUUGCCCUUAAUUUGACUGAUUACUGCCAAACAAAGGGCUCAUGGAUGAAUUAGAAUUACUAGAAUAACAUGUUAUUAGGAAAACUAAGAUGUUACUGUAGAAGGCAUGUACGUCAAAGAGUCCUAGACUUGUAGUUCUGAAGUAGCUAUUGAGGAAGAAAGUGCAAGAGUGAUGAAAUGACUUUUUUCAUAAUACAGAGCUGAAAAUGAAUUGCAUAUAUACUGAUUUACCUGCCCAGUUCUUUUCCUGUUAAAUCACUUCAUUUUAAAUUGCGAAGAUUGGAUUUAAAAAGUGAAUUGGAUAAAAUUCUUUUUUUCUCUUUUGGCACUGGGGUUUGAACUCAGGCCUCACACUUGCAAGGCAGGCACUCUUACCACUUGAGCCACUCCGUCAGCCCUGGGGUCAAAUUCUUAAAGUAGCUAAACUCAAACUCAGUCUUGAAUAAGUACUCUCUGAUAUAGAUCAAGCUUGAGGACAUGUAUUUAAAAAAAAAAAAAAUCUGUCCUCUGCUGGUUGAAAACAAAAGGGAAACUGCAUUUAUUUAUUUGAUUGCAUUGUUAAAUGCUUGCAAAGGCAGUGUAUGUAAAAAUGAAAGUUGACUUCAAGCAAAUUAAUUUUAAUGUUCAGUGAGUUAUUAGCCCACAAACUGUGAAUGGGUUUAAAUCUUUUAUGUUAAUAAAAAUAUAACUUGGUAAAUUACAUCACCAACUAGGUCUAAUAGUAUGCUAAAGCUAAACUUUUUCUAAUGCAGUUCUAGAAUGACUGGAUAGUGAAAUUACAUUUUGACAUCUCAAUAGUAAGAGCCUUUCCCAAAGGUUCUUUAAUGACAUUAGCCAUUAUUUAUUAAUCCAGGAGAGUACGAUGUUUACUUUUUCAUGUGUGUUACUAAAGUUGCAGUUUUUACAUAUUUUUUUCUUGGUAUUUAUUGUCCAUUUUAUCAUUUGGAGAAAACAUGUUACUAUCACCACAAAAUUGCCGAGGAGCCCAUUAGGUAUGUGAGACUGUUCAGAGGACAGUCAGAAACAUACAGUCCUAAACUACACUGUUUUAGAGGUAACAAGAGAAUACUGAAUACUUCUUUUCUUGCCUUGUAAAUGGUGUAACAGGAUAUUUAAUAAGAAUAUUUGUGUCUGCUUUAAACUUUAGUUCAGAGAAAGUUAAUGUGACUGAUAAUUUGUCAAGUAGCAAGAGAACAAAUAGGUUAGCUUGAACUACUGGCCUCUAUAAAUAGGGAAAUAGAGCUAGAAGAAAACAUUUAAGAUCUGAGGGUAUUGCUAGUUCUUUUAAUUCUCACCAUUAACCCUACGAGAGGUAUCAUUAUCUAAGUUUUAUAGAUGAGGAAAUUGAGGAUGUGAUAGGCUCAUUUGUUCCUGUGUCAUGAACUUUUUUUUUAGCCCUUUAUCUUUCUAAGCAUCUACUACAGUUUUCUUCUAAGAGAUCUUAAAGUCUUUCUUAUGGACCACAUUUCUUAAAUUUUUCCCACUUUCCCCUCCAGGCAUUAGCUGGCUGAAGUUUAAGGUAUUUGCCUCCUGGGGAUCUUGCUAAUUUAGUUUGGACUGCCAAAAUGGUUCCAGCAGACCUGAAUUUGGAAGAUUUGCACAGCAGUAUGAAAAGGUCUUUCACUACCAUUCCUACAGUGGUUGGCAAGAUAUCGUUUCUACCUCCCUCUCCAUGUACCAUGCCAGUGACAUCUUAGCUGCUAGAGUGUGGAGCUGGCCUGUGGGAGUCAAGUAUUGGUGACGUGACCUGUUCACACAGGGGAAACUUGAACAUUCGCAGGUAUGUGAAGAUCAUGAUUCAUAAGCAUUUUCCCCCGCAAACAAAACAGUUUAUUUUAGUGUGAACUUGUGAUGUGGCUUACAAAAUCUUAUCUUUCCAGUUGACUUUCCUGCCCCAUUAUUAUAGCACAGGGAUUGUCAGUCUGUAUAUAGCCUGAAUUUGUUGCUUGUUUUUGUAAAUAAAAGUUUAUCCAAAUACGGACCAUUCAUUUAUAUAUUGUCAACAGAAUUGAGUUGUUGCCACAGAGACCAUUUGGUUCAAAAAAAUCUAAAAUAUUUAUUAUCUGACUCUUUAUAAAAAGUUUAUAAAAAGUCAACUCCUACUGUAGAAGAGCCAAACUUCAAAUUUUAUUUGGAUAUAAACUUGCUAAAACCAUAGUUGAGCUGGAGGCGUGAAGCCCUGAGUUCAAACCCCAGUACCGUAAAAAUAAAAUAAACAAAAAUCACAAUUGAUUUUAAAUAAGCUUCUGAGGAUAAAACCAAGAAAGCCUAGACCUAUGCAAAAAUAAUGCCGACUAGUAAGUAAAUAUUUGCAAUAUAUGUAGUGAUAUGAUUAUUAACAUAAAGUUAAUGAAAUGGAAAGCUGUGCUGGCAGUCCAGUGUUUUCUUUUAUUCAUUAUAUUCUCUCUUUCUGUUUCUCUCUGCUUAUGCACUCAUUUGGUGACAGGAUGUUAUUUUUUUAGAUUCUCUAAAAGAUUUUAUGAACAGGUAAGGAUAAAAGAUUUAACUAUGAUGUCUAGCAUAGCCAAAAAGUGAUAAUGACAGUACCUCUUGAUCCAUGGAAGAAUCAUUAUAGUUAAAAUAGACUUGAAAUGAUGAGUUGAAUACUAGAGAUGUUUGAGGACACAGUGCAAAUUAGUGGUGGGGCUGAAACUAGAGGUUAGGUCUCCUGCCUCCUUGUCCAGGGUCCCUUCCUCUAGGUCUGCUAGUAGCUGAAAGGCAUCUGUUUCUUUUUGUUUACUCCCCCUGAAGUAUACGCAAAAACUUGAUGGUUCAAACUACAAAGAUGUGAUUUUUAGAAUAUUAACCUCACUUGAAAUUUGUUUUUUGUUUUGUUUUGUCGUUGUUAUUUGAAGAUUACUGAAGGAUUGCGUCUUAAGGAAUCAUUGUUUAUAUAUACAACUCAGAAAGGUUAGAUUAGAUGGAAUAAAAAAGGAAGCCCAACCCUUGUUCAUAAUUGUAUAGCUAAGUGCAAAACCAAAAUUGGCGUAGGUAGAAUGCUUUCCUUACAUGUCUGUGUAUCUAAAUCUAAGCUCAUAGACAGAAAGUGUGUGUGUGUGUGUGUCUGUGUCUGUCUGUCUAAUAGCUCUUAGCAUGUGCAUUAGAAUCUGCAGAUUAUGUUGCAUAGUUUUAAAUGGACAUUUAAAAAUGUUGUUUUAGAACUGUUUUACUUACAAAUAAGUAGUGAAGAUAGUACACUGAAUUCCCGUAUAUCACCCCUUCCUGCCUUCCCUGUUAUUAAUAUCUUACAUUACUAUGGCACAUUUGUUGCAAUUAAUCAACCAAUCUUCAUCUACCACUCUUAACUAAAGCCCAUAUUUUACUCAGAUUCCCAAUGUUUUUGUCUUUUUCUGUUCUAGGAUUAAAUGACUCUCUUUCUGUCUCUCUUUGUCUCUCUCUCUCUCUGUCUUUCUCUCUAUAUAUAUAUCAGUACUGGGGAUUGAUAAAUUAAGUUUUAUUAGCAUGUUUAUUGAGGUGGAAGGCAUUUAUGUGAUCGCCUAUAGUUGGACAAGGUCUGAAGUCCCUUAUAGUUUCUAAUAUUCUGAUAAAAAAGAUACUACAGAGUUCUGACUUGCAACAUUUAUAUCUCCCCGUAACAUGUCCAAGAUCUUGUUACCUUACCUUAUUGAUAUUAGUGACUCUUGAAUUGUUUCUUAAUUUUUACAUUAGCUCUAAAAAAGACAAAUUUGAAGCAUCAUAUGCUAAAUUGCUGGUGAAAAUAUUCUAAAGUGAAUUGCCUCCUUUGGGAACCAUGUGGAUCAGCUGUCUACUUCAGGGUGCUUUUCUUCCUGAAAAUGCCUUUUGAAAUUAGCACCUUUUUAUGAAUCAAUGAUUGUUCAUAUAUAAAGACCUUUACAAAAAAGUUCUUUAAUUCUCUUCUAAAGUUGAACAAAUGCAUGUCCUUUGACUUAGCACUUCCACUCUUAUAUUUAUGCACAACAGAACUGUGUGCAUAUACAGUAAACCACUGGUAUCCGUGGGAAACAUGGUGCCAAAGAGACUGUUGUUGAGGAAAAACUACAAUUACUCAGGGUGCGUAGAGCCAGUGCUGUAUUAUGGAUGCAUGAUUCAUUUUUCCAUAAUGUCAUCCAACUUCUGCUAAACA
This is a non-coding RNA of Castor canadensis (American beaver), 4703 nucleotides long. The record is from RefSeq and is a predicted model, not a curated record. Lineage: Eukaryota; Metazoa; Chordata; Mammalia; Rodentia; Castoridae.